CCUCCUCUAACCACUAAUACCCUGAUGCCUUCUUCUUCAAAUUUGAAGAUUAUCAUUACUACCAUCUCUUUCUUCAAAUCUACCUAUAGUAACCAAUUUGGGUCAUAAGCAAAUACCCACAAUCCAACUAUCAUAUUAUUACCAUCUCUUCAAUCCUUCAAAUUCGUCCUCUCUUUUUUUUCAAUUACCUUCACCGUUGAAACUGCUCGUUUUGAAAGUUUCAAAGUACCCAAAAAAAACUAUCCAUGAUAAAAUUAGAUCUAUUUAUGAAUUUACUUGAAAUGGGUUCUUCAAAAUAGAAAAAGUUAAAAGCUUUGAGAAGUAGAAAA
Molecule: long non-coding RNA, 329 nt
Filed under: Solanum tuberosum (potato)
Lineage: Eukaryota; Viridiplantae; Streptophyta; Magnoliopsida; Solanales; Solanaceae
Description: long non-coding RNA (STUB_LNC000788)
Source: RNAcentral